GGGAAUAGCUCAGUUGGUAGAGCAUCACCUUGCCAAGGUGAGGGUCGCCGGUUCGAGUCCGGUUUCCC
RNAcentral lists this transfer RNA (68 nucleotides) under marine eukaryotic metagenome. It matches the Rfam family "tRNA". Rfam says of the family: Transfer RNA (tRNA) molecules are approximately 80 nucleotides in length. Their secondary structure includes four short double-helical elements and three loops (D, anti-codon, and T loops). The record is from RNAcentral.